Molecule: ribosomal RNA, 301 nt
Filed under: uncultured bacterium
Lineage: Bacteria
Description: partial 16S ribosomal RNA
Rfam family: Bacterial small subunit ribosomal RNA
Source: RNAcentral
CAGCCGCCGCGGUAAUACGGAGGGUGCGAGCGUUAAUCGGAAUAACUGGGCGUAAAGGGCACGCAGGCGGUUAUUUAAGUGAGGUGUGAAAGCCCCGGGCUUAACCUGGGAAUUGCAUUUCAGACUGGGUAACUAGAGUACUUUAGGGAGGGGUAGAAUUCCACGUGUAGCGGUGAAGUGCGUAGAGAUGUGGAGGAAUACCGAAGGCGAAGGCAGCCCCUUGGGAAUGUACUGACGCUCAUGUGCGAAAGCGUGGGGAGCAAACAGGAUUAGAUACCCGCGUAGUCCCUGUCUCUUAUAC